This 533-nucleotide ribosomal RNA is filed under the name uncultured bacterium. Its description in RNAcentral is "bacterial SSU rRNA". It matches the Rfam family "Bacterial small subunit ribosomal RNA", at positions 777 to 1304 of the family's 1533-position model. The record is from RNAcentral.
AAUAGAUACCCCGGUAGUCCACGCCGUAAACGAUGAGUGCUAAGUGUUAGGAGGGGUUUCCGCCCUUUAGUGCUGCAGCUAACGCAUUAAGCACUCCGCCGUGGGGAGUACGGCCGCAAGGCUGAAACUCAAAGGAAUUGACGGGGGCCCGCACAAGCGGUGGAGCAUGUGGUUUAAUUCGAAGCAACGCGAAGAACCUUACCAGGUCUUGACAUCCUCUGCCAACCCUAGAGAUAGGGCGUUCCCCUUCGGGGGACAGAGUGACAGGUGGUGCAUGGUUGUCGUCAGCUCGUGUCGUGAGAUGUUGGGUUAAGUCCCGCAACGAGCGCAACCCUUGAUCUUAGUUGCCAGCAUUCAGUUGGGCACUCUAAGGUGACUGCCGGUGACAAACCGGAGGAAGGUGGGGAUGACGUCAAAUCAUCAUGCCCCUUAUGACCUGGGCUACACACGUGCUACAAUGGAUGGUACAAAGAGCUGCGAACCCGCGAGGGUAAGCCAAUCUCAUAAAAGCCAUUCUCAGUUCGGAUUGUAGG